This 429-nucleotide ribosomal RNA is filed under the name Acidobacteriota bacterium. RNAcentral describes it as "Acidobacteria bacterium partial 16S ribosomal RNA". It matches the Rfam family "Bacterial small subunit ribosomal RNA", at positions 355 to 776 of the family's 1533-position model. The record is from RNAcentral. Lineage: Bacteria; Pseudomonadati; Acidobacteriota.
UGGGGAAUUUUGGACAAUGGGGGAAACCCUGAUCCAGCCAUCCCGCGUGUGCGAUGAAGGCCUUCGGGUUGUAAAGCACUUUUGGCAGGAAAGAAACGUCAUGGGUUAAUACCCCGUGAAACUGACGGUACCUGCAGAAUAAGCACCGGCUAACUACGUGCCAGCAGCCGCGGUAAUACGUAGGGUGCAAGCGUUAAGCGGAAUUACUGGGCGUAAAGCGUGCGCAGGCGGUUCGGAAAGAAAGAUGUGAAAUCCCAGAGCUCAACUUUGGAACUGCAUUUUUAACUACCGGGCUAGAGUGUGUCAGAGGGAGGUGGAAUUCCGCGUGUAGCAGUGAAAUGCGUAGAUAUGCGGAGGAACACCGAUGGCGAAGGCAGCCUCCUGGGAUAACACUGACGCUCAUGCACGAAAGCGUGGGGAGCAAACAGG